Molecule: ribosomal RNA, 884 nt
Filed under: uncultured bacterium
Lineage: Bacteria
Description: bacterial SSU rRNA
Rfam family: Bacterial small subunit ribosomal RNA
Source: RNAcentral
CGAACGAUGAAGCUGGAGCUUGCUCCAGUGGAUUAGUGGCGAACGGGUGAGUAACACGUGAGAAAUCUGCCCCUGACUCUGGGAUAACUGCGGGAAACUGUAGCUAAUACCGGAUACUUUCCCUGGUGGGCAUCCACUGGGGAAGAAAGAAUUUCGGUCAGGGAGGAUCUCGCGGCCUAUCAGCUUGUUGGUGAGGUAACGGCUCACCAAGGCGACGACGGGUAACCGGCCUGAGAGGGUGACCGGUCACACUGGGACUGAGACACGGCCCAGACUCCUACGGGAGGCAGCAGUGGGGAAUAUUGCACAAUGGGCGCAAGCCUGAUGCAGCAACGCCGCGUGAGGGAUGACGGCCUUCGGGUUGUAAACCUCUUUUAGCAGGGAAGAAGCGAAAGUGACGGUACCUGCAGAAAAAGCACCGGCUAACUACGUGCCAGCAGCCGCGGUAAUACGUAGGGUGCAAGCGUUGUCCGGAAUUAUUGGGCGUAAAGAGCUCGUAGGCGGUUUGUCACGUCUGCUGUGAAAAUCCAAGGCUCAACCUUGGACUUGCAGUGGGUACGGGCAGGCUAGAGUGCGGUAGGGGAGAUGGGAAUUCCUGGUGUAGCGGUGGAAUGCGCAGAUAUCAGGAGGAACACCAAUGGCGAAGGCACAUCUCUGGGCCGUAACUGACGCUGAGGAGCGAAAGCGUGGGGAGCGAACAGGAUUAGAUACCCUGGUAGUCCACGCCGUAAACGGUGGGUGCUAGCUGUGGGCCACAUUCCACGUGGUCCGUGACGAAGUUAACACAUUAAGCACCCCGCCUGGGGAGUACGGCGCAGCUAAAACUCAAGAUGACGGGGCCCGCACAGCGCGAGCAUGCGAUAUCGAUGCACGCGAGACUUACA